RNAcentral lists this small RNA (123 nucleotides) under Arabidopsis thaliana (thale cress). RNAcentral's name for it is "ATSL111480". Lineage: Eukaryota; Viridiplantae; Streptophyta; Magnoliopsida; Brassicales; Brassicaceae. The record is from RNAcentral.
AUAAGCAAAAUAAGAGGGAAUAUUAAGAUGACAUCUACUAUGGUUCUAUUCCUCCUUCUUCUUCUUGUGUUUCCGCAUAUGGAUAAAGCCCUAGGCGCACACGAGGAAUCCCAGAAACAAGGU